GAAGCCGGACAGGCAGUCGCCGCGCCCUUCAGGGCGGGGAGGAAAGUCCGGGCUCCGCAGGGCAGGAUGCCGGCUAACGGCCGGGCGCCGCAAGGCGACGGAAAGUGGAACAGAGAGCUGAACCGCCGAUGGCCCCCGGGCGCGCAAGCGUACCGGGAACCGGCACAGGCAAGGGUGAAAAGGUGGACUCCUCCGGGAGCGGCCGGGGCAACCCGGUUCGGUAAGAGCGCACCGCGGACGUGGCAACACGGACGGCAGGCUAAACCCCAUCCGGAGCAAGGCCAAAUAGGGGUGCACAGGCGUGGCCCGCGCUGCACCCGGGUAGGCUGCUUGAGCCUGCCGGUAACGGCAGGCCUAGAGGAAUGACUGCUCAACGACAGAACCCGGCUUAUCGUCCGGCUUCCCAC
This 407-nucleotide RNase P RNA is filed under the name Gulbenkiania mobilis. Its description in RNAcentral is "Bacterial RNase P class A". It matches the Rfam family "Bacterial RNase P class A". Rfam says of the family: Ribonuclease P (RNase P) is a ubiquitous endoribonuclease, found in archaea, bacteria and eukarya as well as chloroplasts and mitochondria. Its best characterised activity is the generation of mature 5'-ends of tRNAs by cleaving the 5'-leader elements of precursor-tRNAs. The record is from RNAcentral. Lineage: Bacteria; Pseudomonadati; Pseudomonadota; Betaproteobacteria; Neisseriales; Chromobacteriaceae.